Molecule: long non-coding RNA, 1358 nt
Filed under: Salvia miltiorrhiza (redroot sage)
Lineage: Eukaryota; Viridiplantae; Streptophyta; Magnoliopsida; Lamiales; Lamiaceae
Description: long non-coding RNA (SMIL_LNC000489)
Source: RNAcentral
GGUGACUACAUUUUGGGUUAAAAACUGCAAGUCCUAAAAUCCCUCCUCAUGUUCAUCUCUCUCUCUCUCAACCUCGCAGCCGUCUCUCACCUUCUCUGCAAAAUCACUAGCCUCUUUCUCUGCAAAUCUCGACGUUGAAGACGAGAUUUGGGCUGAAAUCAAACAGGUAAUGCGAUUUCUAUUCUGGUUUUUCUAUUCGAAUUUAUUUUUGGAUUUUAUGGGCUUUGAAUCGAUUAAUUUUGUUGGGUUUUCCAAAAUAAGAUCGAAAUUUUUAGUUGGGUUUUUGUAAUCAUGUUCGAAAUUUGUUUUGGUUGGAUUUUAGAUGUUGGGUUUUUGAAAUCAUUAAAUUCUUCAUCUUGUAAAUAUGUAGAAUAAAAAUUAUUGCGAGAAGUAAAGUAAUUGGCCCGUGAUGUGCUAUCUGUUUCCUUUAGAUGUUGUGCUCAUCCAUGUUUGACAGCUGAAGUUUUUGAUGGGUCUAUGAACAAAAUCUGGAAUUGUAUUAGAUGUAUGUUUCCUAAAAUUAAAGAUCUGGAAUUUGGGAAAAUUGGGAGAAUCCUCUUCAAUGAAUAAUUAGAUGUCCUUUCUGUUCAUUUAGAAAUUGUAUUAUGUUCAUUAAAAAUUAUAUCUUGUUCAUUUAGAGGAUUGUGCAAACUUGGAGGAGGUGACCUUAAUUCAUCGAUCGGGGUUUGAGGGUUUGGCGGCGAAAUCGACUUUGAUUUGUUGAAUAAAUUUAGAACGCAAAAUCUAGUCUUUUGCAGGGUCAAUCGACAAAAUGCAUAAUUCGCGAUCCGCCAUGAAAUUCGAGAAUGGGGAAUUAUUGUGAGAGUAAGAGGAAGAAACACACCUUAUCUUUCUAUUUUUCUAUUUUAUUUUAUAAAUUUGUUCCAGCUCCAUUGUCUAGUCUUUGGCCCUAAUCUGCACUGUUAUUUUCUUUUCAUCAAAUUGAAUGAUCAAUUUGGAUUUUUUAGGAUAUUCAUGCGUUUAGUAAAUCUGAAUAUAUCUGUUCAUUUAAAAAUUGUGUUCUAUUCGUUUAUAUAUUGUGUUAUGUUCAUUUAGGGCAAGAAGCCUCUCGAGGUGAUAUGACAGAGGAAUUCAAUGAAACGAAGUCUCCGAGGGAUAUGAAAAGCCACAACACGCACACAAUGUCGAACACUGUCAUAGCAGUAGCGAAGAACGCGAGCCUGCUCGGAUCUGCUGGACUUUUGGAUGAUACAAAUAUUUUCAUUUGGAUUUCUAUUCAUUGAAAAAUGAUAUCUUGUUCAUUAAAAAUUGUAUUUUGUUCAUUGAAAGGAAUAUGUUCAUUUAAAAAUUGUGUUUUGUUCAAUGAAAUAUGUUCUGUUCAUUUAGAAAGUGUACUC